Molecule: transfer RNA, 57 nt
Filed under: Mansonella perstans
Lineage: Eukaryota; Metazoa; Nematoda; Chromadorea; Rhabditida; Onchocercidae
Description: tRNA-Tyr
Source: RNAcentral
AAGGUUUUAGUUUAUUAUUUAGAACAAAGAAUUGUAAAUUCUUAGGAUUUUAUCUUG